CAGCCGCCGCGGUAAUACGGAGGGUGCAAGCGUUAAUCGGAAUUACUGGGCGUAAAGCGCACGCAGGCGGUCUGACAAGUCAGAUGUGAAAUCCCCGGGCUAAACCUGGGAACUGCAUUUGAAACUGUCAGGCUGGAGUCUUGUAGAGGGGGGUAGAAUUCCAGGUGUAGCGGUGAAAUGCGUAGAGAUCUGGAGGAAUACCGGUGGCGAAGGCGGCCCCCUGGACAAAGACUGACGCUCAGGUGCGAAAGCGUGGGGAGCAAACAGGAUUAGAUACCCCUGUAGUCCCUGUCUCUUAUAC
This 301-nucleotide ribosomal RNA is filed under the name uncultured bacterium. Its description in RNAcentral is "partial 16S ribosomal RNA". It matches the Rfam family "Bacterial small subunit ribosomal RNA", at positions 509 to 807 of the family's 1533-position model. The record is from RNAcentral.